Molecule: ribosomal RNA, 778 nt
Filed under: uncultured Neocallimastigales
Lineage: Eukaryota; Fungi; Neocallimastigomycota; Neocallimastigomycetes; Neocallimastigales
Description: partial large subunit ribosomal RNA
Rfam family: Eukaryotic large subunit ribosomal RNA
Source: RNAcentral
AGAGAGAGACAUGCGCGCAUAUCAAUAAGCGGAGGAAAAGAAACUAACAUAGGAUUCCCUCAGUAACGGCGAGUGAAGCGGGAAGAGCUCAAAUUUGAAAUCUUCAAGGGUUCUACCUUUACGAAUUGUAGUUUAAAGAAGUGUUUUCUGUUGAGGUUUUGGUAAAAGUUCUUUGGAAUAGGACAUCAUAGAGGGUGAGAAUCCCGUAUUUGACCUUUACUUUCAACUUUGUGAUACACUUUCAAAGAGUCGGAUUGUUUGGGAAUGCAGUCCAAAAUGGGUGGUAAAUUUCAUCUAAAGCUAAAUAUUGGCGAGAGACCGAUAGCGAACAAGUACCGUGAGGGAAAGAUGAAAAGAACUUUGAAAAGAGAGUUAAACAGUACGUGAAAUUGUCAAAAGGGAAGCGUUUGACACCAGUGUUGUUUUUCUGAAAAUCAAUUAAAGAACUGUUUAUGCUAAGUUGUUUAGACUUUAUCAGCUAACUGUUUAGUUUUGAGCUUUUCUUUAAUGCACUUUUCAGUUAACAAGUCAACAUCAAUUUCUUUUGCUGUAAAAAAGCUUGAGGAAGGUGGCUUGAGAUUCGUCUUAAGUGUUUAUAGCCUCUUGCCUAUGCAGUCGGAGAGAUUGAGGUCUGCAGCGUAGAUCCUUCGGGGCUAAAUGCAUUUGUGCUAAGUUAUAGCAUUUCAUAGACAACUUGUUGACUAUGAUCAUGUCUAUGUAGCUUACUCGCUUAUGCUAUUUUACCUACGCUUAGGAUGUUGAUGUGAUACUGCGAGCA